This 266-nucleotide ribosomal RNA is filed under the name uncultured Methanomicrobiales archaeon. RNAcentral's name for it is "partial 16S ribosomal RNA". It matches the Rfam family "Archaeal small subunit ribosomal RNA", at positions 1076 to 1338 of the family's 1478-position model. Lineage: Archaea; Methanobacteriati; Methanobacteriota; Methanomicrobia; Methanomicrobiales. The record is from RNAcentral.
CCUCCCGGGGAUGGAGGGGACACUGUUGGGACCGCCUCUGGCUAAAGAGGAGGAAGGAAUGGGCAACGGUAGAUCAGCAUGCCCCGAAUUAAUUGGGCUACACGCGGGCUACAAUGGGUGGGACAAUGGGUAUCGACACCGAAAGGUGAAGGCAAUCUCCUAAACCCAUCCGUAGUUCGGAUUGUGGGCUGCAACUCGCCCACAUGAAGCUGGAAUCUGUAGUAAUCGUGUUUCAAAAUAGCACGGUGAAUAUGUCCCUGCUCCUU